GCAUGGCUGUCGUCAGCUCGUGUUGUGAAAUGUUGGGUUAAGUCCCGCAACGAGCGCAACCCUUAUCCUUGUUUGCCAGCGAGUAAUGUCGGGAACUCCAGGGAGACUGCCGGUGAUAAACCGGAGGAAGGUGGGGACGACGUCAAGUCAUCAUGGCCCUUACGAGUAGGGCUACACACGUGCUACAAUGGCGCAUACAGAGGGCGGCCAACUUGCGAAAGUGAGCGAAUCCCAAAAAGUGCGUCGUAGUCCGGAUUGGAGUCUGCAACUCGACUCCAUGAAGUCGGAAUCGCUAGUAAUCGUGGAUCAGAAUGCCACGGUGAAUACGUUCCCGGGCCUUGUACACACCGCCCGUCACACCAUGGGAGUGGGCUGCAAAAGAAGUGGGUAGUUUAACCUUCGGGAGGACGCUCACCACUUUGUGGUUCAUGACUGGGGUGAAGUCGUAACAAGGUAGCGCUAGGGGAACCUGGCGCUGGAUCACCUCCUUAUACGAUGAU
Molecule: ribosomal RNA, 500 nt
Filed under: Vibrio vulnificus
Lineage: Bacteria; Pseudomonadati; Pseudomonadota; Gammaproteobacteria; Vibrionales; Vibrionaceae
Description: bacterial SSU rRNA
Rfam family: Bacterial small subunit ribosomal RNA
Source: RNAcentral